AUACGGAGGGUGCAAGCGUUACUCGGAAUCACUGGGCGUAAAGCGCGCGCAGGCGGCUUGAUAAGUUGGAUGUGAAAGCCUACGGCUCAACCGUAGAACUGCAUCCAAAACUGUCAAGCUAGAGUCUGGGAGGGGAAGAUGGAAUUAGUUGUGUAGGGGUAAAAUCCGUAGAGAUAACUAGGAAUACCAAAAGCGAAGGCAAUCUUCUGGAACACUACUGACGCUGAGGCGCGAAAGCGUGGGGAGCAAACAGGAUUAGAAACCCGGGUAGUCC
Molecule: ribosomal RNA, 274 nt
Filed under: uncultured bacterium
Lineage: Bacteria
Description: partial 16S ribosomal RNA
Rfam family: Bacterial small subunit ribosomal RNA
Source: RNAcentral